Molecule: ribosomal RNA, 443 nt
Filed under: uncultured bacterium
Lineage: Bacteria
Description: partial 16S ribosomal RNA
Rfam family: Bacterial small subunit ribosomal RNA
Source: RNAcentral
CCUACGGGAGGCAGCAGUGGGGAAUAUUGGGCAAUGGGCGCAAGCCUGACCCAGCAACGCCGCGUGAAGGAAGAAGGCUUUCGGGUUGUAAACUUCUUUUCUCAGGGACGAAGAAAGUGACGGUACCUGAGGAAUAAGCCACGGCUAACUACGUGCCAGCAGCCGCGGUAAUACGUAGGUGGCAAGCGUUAUCCGGAUGUAUUGGGUGUAAAGGGCGUGUAGGCGGGAGCGCAAGUCAGAUGUGAAAACUCAGGGCUCAACCCUGAGCCUGCAUUUGAAACUGUGUUUCUUGAGUGCUGGGGAGGCAAGCGGAAUUCCGGGUGUAGCGGGGAAAUGCGUAGAUAUACGGAGGAACACCAGUGGCGAAGGCGGAUUGCUGGACAGUAACGGACUCUGAGGCGCGAAAGCGUGGGGAGCAAACAGGAUUAGAUACCCUAGUAGUC